This 459-nucleotide ribosomal RNA is filed under the name uncultured bacterium. Its description in RNAcentral is "partial 16S ribosomal RNA". It matches the Rfam family "Bacterial small subunit ribosomal RNA", at positions 338 to 795 of the family's 1533-position model. The record is from RNAcentral.
CCUACGGGAGGCAGCAGUGAGGAAUAUUGGUCAAUGGCCGGGAGGCUGAACCAGCCAAGUCGCGUGAGGGAAGACGGCCCUACGGGUUGUAAACCUCUUUUGUCAGGGAGCAAGGUGCAGGUCGGGACCUGCUGUGAGAGUACCUGAAGAAAAAGCAUCGGCUAACUCCGUGCCAGCAGCCGCGGUAAUACGGAGGAUGCGAGCGUUAUCCGGAUUUAUUGGGUUUAAAGGGUGCGCAGGCGGAGGCACAAGUCAGCGGUAAAAUCGCGGGGCUCAACCCCGCUGCGCCGUUGAAACUGGGUGCCUUGAGUGCGCGAAGGGUAGGCGGAAUGCGUGGUGUAGCGGUGAAAUGCAUAGAUAUCACGCAGAACUCCGAUCGCGAAGGCAGCCUACCGGCGCGCAACUGACGCUGAUGCACGAAAGCGUGGGUAUCGAACAGGAUUAGAUACCCUUGUAGUC